Podarcis raffonei (Aeolian wall lizard) is the source of this 1252-nucleotide long non-coding RNA. RefSeq lists it as uncharacterized. The record is from RefSeq and is a predicted model, not a curated record. Lineage: Eukaryota; Metazoa; Chordata; Lepidosauria; Squamata; Lacertidae. The transcript has 2 exons.
CAUCAUUGACUGCAGUCCUGCCAUGCCACCUGGAAUAAAAGAGGAAUAUUAAAUAUGGACACUUCAACAUUACAGUUUGGAAGAAGCCUAUUUGGAACACUUUUAAGCAAAGAGAACAUUGAGCCUCCACAGCAUGGAAAAAUAUGACAUUUGAAUCCAAGACCAUAUCAUUGAACUGCCCUGUGAUCUUUGGCUGCAGGUUGGUAUACAAAUUUAUUAAACAAAACAAUGAAUCAUAGUCUCAUUAGAAAAUACUGCUUUCUUUUCAGAGAGACAAUCAAGACCUAUUAUCUCUACCACAUGUUUCAGCUUCAUCUCUUAAAUAGGGUCAAACACAAUUUUCUGGAGUGAUUCCAAGGGAAGUAGAAAAAUACUGUUUGUGACUUUUACAGGACAUGUCUAUGAAAAUGAUGUUUUAAAACCAAAUUUACAUACAGCUUUCUCUACAUGGUGAUGCUCAUGUAGUCUAUUUUUAACAUAGGAAUUCAUAAGCACAAAAUAUUAUUUGUUUUUACAACUGGUCCAGAAUUGGGGCUUCUAAAGUUAUGCAACUGAUUAAAUUGGAGAACAUAAAAUCCAUGCAACUGUAAUUAUUCUCACCUUUGAAAAGUCCUUUUAUGCCUCCCAUCUUUUUCACCAUUUGUGCAAAUUUUGUGUACUGUGUCAGGAGUUCUUGAACAUCUCUAGUUGAAACACCAGAACCUCUUGCUACUCUUUGGAUUCUUCCUGGUUGUUUACUGAAAACUUUGGCCCCGUCUGUACUAUCAAGUUCUACAUUAGAGAAGCCAUGGGAAAAUAAACAAUUUAUUGUACACUGUUAAAAUGCUGAUGAGUCAAUUACAGGUUUUUUAGAAGGGCAACCACUCAAAAUUCUAUACUAAUAGCUUAGUAUUUUAGUUUUAUAAACAGUAAAGAUUAGGUAUAAUUCAUUAGGGCUUUUAUUCAAUGUAGUAAGUACACUUCAACAGAUCGGUCACUCAGUUGCUCAACUGUAGGAAACUUUACCUUGAUCAUUCAUACUGUCCAUUAUUGUCAUCAGUUUCUUUAGCCUUGCCAUUGAUUCCUGUUCGUUGCCUUUACUCAUAAAAUCUGUUCCGAAACCUGGGAUCAUACCCUACAACAAUUAUAAGUAAAAAUUAAAUGCCAUUUUCAAAUAUAUGUAGCAUUUUAGUUCAGACUGAAUUUUAAUGUUUUAGCGCAGAAUUUUCUGAACUCAGAAGAAAAAAGAAUCUUAUCAGAUUGCAAAAGAGAA